AUGUUAGAAGGUGUUAAAUCAAUAGGUGUCGGAGCUGCUACAAUUGCUUUAGCCGAAGCUGCUGUCGGUAUUGGAAACAUCCUUAGUUCUUUGAUUCAUUCCGUGGUGCAAAAUCCAUCAUUGGCUAAACAAUCAUUUGGUUAUGCCAUUUUGGGUUUUGCUCUCACCGAAGCUAUUGCAUUGUUUGCCCCAAUGAUGGCAUUUCUGAUCUCAUUCGUUUUUCGAUCGCAUAAAAAGUCAUGA
Molecule: ribosomal RNA, 243 nt
Filed under: Triticum aestivum (bread wheat)
Lineage: Eukaryota; Viridiplantae; Streptophyta; Magnoliopsida; Poales; Poaceae
Description: partial small subunit ribosomal RNA
Source: RNAcentral